Molecule: ribosomal RNA, 397 nt
Filed under: uncultured bacterium
Lineage: Bacteria
Description: bacterial SSU rRNA
Rfam family: Bacterial small subunit ribosomal RNA
Source: RNAcentral
UAAUACGGAGGGUGCGAGCGUUGUCCGGAAUCACUGGGCGUAAAGGGCGCGUAGGCGGCCCGGUAAGUAGGGGGUGAAAUCUUGCGGCUUAACCGCAAGGCUGCCUUCUAGACUGCCAGGCUCGAGCACAGUAGAGGCAGGUGGAAUUCCCGGUGUAGCGGUGGAAUGCGUAGAGAUCGGGAAGAACAUCAGUGGCGAAGGCGGCCUGCUGGACUGUAGCUGACGCUGAGGCGCGACAGCGUGGGGAGCAAACAGGAUUAGAUACCCUGGUAGUCCACGCCGUAAACGAUGGGCACUAGGCGUCGGGGGGAGCGACCCUCCCGGUGCCGUCGCUAACGCAGUAAGUGCCCCGCCUGGGGAGUACGGCCGCAAGGCUGAAACUCAAAUGAAUUGACGG